RNAcentral lists this ribosomal RNA (463 nucleotides) under uncultured bacterium. Its description in RNAcentral is "partial 16S ribosomal RNA". It matches the Rfam family "Bacterial small subunit ribosomal RNA", at positions 29 to 506 of the family's 1533-position model. The record is from RNAcentral.
ACGAACGCUGGCGGCGUGCUUAACACAUGCAAGUCGAACGGAAAGGCCCUGCUUGCAGGGUACUCGAGUGGCGAACGGGUGAGUAACACGUGGGUGAUCUGCCCUGCACUUCGGGAUAAGCCUGGGAAACUGGGUCUAAUACCGGAUAGGAGCCAUUUUUAGUGUGAUGGUUGGAAAGUUUUUUCGGUGUAGGAUGAGCUCGCGGCCUAUCAGCUUGUUGGUGGGGUAAUGGCCUACCAAGGCGGCGACGGGUAGCCGGCCUGAGAGGGUGGACGGCCACAUUGGGACUGAGAUACGGCCCAACCUCCUACGGGAGGCAGCAGUGGGGAAUAUUGCACAAUGGGCGCAAGCCUGAUGCAGCGACGCCGCGUGGGGGAUGACGGCCUUCGGGUUGUAAACUCCUUUCGCUAGGGACGAAGCUUUUUGUGACGGUACCGAGAUAAGAAGCACCGGCGAACUACGG